Molecule: ribosomal RNA, 484 nt
Filed under: uncultured bacterium
Lineage: Bacteria
Description: partial 16S ribosomal RNA
Rfam family: Bacterial small subunit ribosomal RNA
Source: RNAcentral
ACUGAACGCUGGCGGCAGGCCUAACACAUGCAAGUCGAGCGGAUGAAGGGAGCUUGCUCCUGGAUUCAGCGGCGGACGGGUGAGUAAUGCCUAGGAAUCUGCCUGGUAGUGGGGGAUAACGUCCGGAAACGGGCGCUAAUACCGCAUACGUCCUGAGGGAGAAAGUGGGGGAUCCUCGGACCUCACGCUAUCAGAUGAGCCUAGGUCGGAUUAGCUAGUUGGUGGGGUAAAGGCCUACCAAGGCGACGAUCCGUAACUGGUCUGAGAGGAUGAUCAGUCACACUGGAACUGAGACACGGUCCAGACUCCUACGGGAGGCAGCAGUGGGGAAUAUUGGACAAUGGGCGAAAGCCUGAUCCAGCCAUGCCGCGUGUGUGAAGAAGGUCUUCGGAUUGUAAAGCACUUUAAGUUGGGAGGAAGGGCAGUAAGUUAAUACCUUGCUGUUUUGACGUUACCAACAGAAUAAGCACCGGCUAACUUCGUG